This 450-nucleotide ribosomal RNA is filed under the name uncultured bacterium. RNAcentral describes it as "partial 16S ribosomal RNA". It matches the Rfam family "Bacterial small subunit ribosomal RNA", at positions 354 to 796 of the family's 1533-position model. The record is from RNAcentral.
GUGGGGAAUAUUGGACAAUGGGCGAAAGCCUGAUCCAGCCAUGCCGCGUGUGUGAAGAAGGUCUUCGGAUUGUAAAGCACUUUAAGUUGGGAGGAAGGGUAGUAACCUAAUACGUUGCUACUUUGACGUUACCGACAGAAUAAGCACCGGCUAACUUCGUGCCAGCAGCCGCGGUAAUACGAAGGGUGCAAGCGUUAAUCGGAAUUACUGGGCGUAAAGCGCGCGCAGGAGGUUCAGUAAGUUGGAAGUGAAAUCCCCGGGCUCAACCUGGGAACUGCUUUCAAAACUGCUGAGCUAGAGUACGGUAGAGGGUGGUGGAAUUUCCUGUGUAGCGGUGAAAUGCGUAGAUAUAGGAAGUAACACCAGUGGCGAAGGCGACCACCUGGACUGAUACUGACACUGAGGUGCGAAAGCGUGGGGAGCAAACAGGAUUAGAAACCCGUGUAGUCC